RNA transcript from Pseudoliparis swirei, 5436 nucleotides. It is a transcript of the gene named formin-binding protein 1, with no coding region annotated. Lineage: Eukaryota; Metazoa; Chordata; Actinopteri; Perciformes; Liparidae. The record is from RefSeq and is a predicted model, not a curated record. The transcript is spliced from 18 exons.
UGCACAUUGCGAAGACUCUCCCGUUUGAAAGAUUAAGCAGCAGCUCUCUGGUUCAUCGUGACGUCACCCGGGAUGAGACGUCGAUUCGAGGAGAUCAAUACUCAAUAAAAACGAAGGAGCCCUUUUUUUUUUUUUUUUUGGGGGUUGUAAACAGACGACGGUGUCGGUGUCGGUGACUCGGCGGUUACGAGGAAGAGGCGAUACACCACGAGCGUGCGCGCGCGCGGAAAAAACCCCACCAAGAACGAGUUGUGGAUUAUUCCGAGGACAUCGGACUGAAACCAUGAGCUGGGGGUCCGAGCUCUGGGAUCAGUUUGACAACUUGGAGAAGCACACGCAGUGGGGCAUCGAAUUCGUGGAGAAGUACACCAAAUUCGUGAAGGAGAGAUCGGAGAUCGAAACCAACUAUGCCAAACAGAUUAGGAAUUUAUCAAAGAAGUACCAACCGAAGAGGAACUCCAGAGAAGAGGAAGAGAGCAAGUUCACGUUCUGCCGAGCCUUCCUGGUGUCGCUGAACGAGCUGGGCGACUACGCCGGGCAGCACGAGGUCAUCGCCGAGAACCUGACGUCUCAGAUCAUCUGCGAGCUGUCGCGCUACCUGCAGGAGCUCAAGGGCGAGAGGAAAGCGCACUUCCACGAUGGUCGCAAAGCGCAGCAGCAGAUCGAGAGCUCGUGGAAACAGCUGGAAUCGUGUAAACGGAGGUUCGAGAGGGACUGCAAGGAGGCGGACCGAGCGCAGCAGUACUUCGAGAGGAUGGACGCCGACAUCAACGUGACGAAGGCCGACGUGGAGAAGGCGCGACAGCAUGCUCAGUCCAGGCAGCUGAUGGCUUCGGACAGUAAGAGCGACUACUCCUCCUACCUGCAGAAGUUCAACCAGGAGCAGAAUGAGCAUUACUUCACGGUCAUCCCCAACAUAUUCCAGAAACUCCAGGACAUGGAGGAGAAGCGGAUCGAGCGGCUGGGCGUGAGCAUGAGGACGUUUGCGGACGUGGACCGACAGGUGCUGCCCAUCGUGGGCAAAUGUUUAGACGGCAUGACGAAGGCAGCCGAGUCCAUCGAGCCCAAGACUGACUCCCAGCAUGUGGUGGAGUCGUACAAGUCCGGGUUCGAGCCGCCGGGCGACGUGGACUUCGAGGACUACGGCCAGGCCAUGACGAGGACGGCGUCCGACGCCAGCCUGACCACGAACCCCCGAGAGGCCAAGGAGCGGCCGGCGAGGAGCAAGGGCAAGCUGUGGCCCUUUAUCAAGAACAAGAGCAAGCUUAUGUCCCUGAUAGCGUCCCCCCGCCAGCCCCCCCCCGCGCCCCCAGCCUCGGCCCCGCCCUCACCCUCUGCUGUUCCCAACGACCCCCAGUCUCCCAAGCAGCACAAGGAGCCCCUCUCCCACCGCCUCAACGACUUCAUGACCUCCAAGCCCAAAUUGCACUGCCUCCGGAGCCUGAGGCGAGGGCUUUCUCUCAAGCUGAUCACGCUCAAUUCCCACGUCCGGAAUCUGAUGGAGGGCUCUGGACCGGAGGACUUCAGCCACCUGCCUCCGGAGCAGAGGAGGAAGAAGCUUCUGGGCAAGAUGGAGGAGCUGAAUAAGGACAUCCAGAAAGAGAUGGACCAGAGGGACGCGCUGACGAAGAUGAAGGACGUGUACGUGAAGAACCCUCAGAUGGGCGACCCGGCCAGCGUCGACCCGCGGCUGUCGGAGAUCGCCCUGAACGUCGAGAAGCUGCAGUUCGAGGCUCAGAAGUUUGAGGGCUGGCUGGCGGAGGUGGAGGAGAGGAUGCCGUCCAAGAGCGAUACGAACCGUCGAAGUGGACUCUAUGAGACCCAGAACAGCACGCCGCUGAGCAACAACUGCGCUCAGGACCGAGAGAGGCCCUUGAGCAGCCCGGACGGCAGCUACACGGAGGAGCAGAAUUCGGAGACGCAGGUGAAGGCCGCCGUGAACCCCGCGCUGCCGACCUCCAGCACGCCGGAGUUCGACGACGAGUUCGACGACGACGAGAGGCUGCCGACCAUCGGCACCUGCAAGGCCCUGUACCCCUUCGAAGGUCACAACGAGGGCACCAUCUCCGUGGCGGAGGGCGAGCUGCUGUACGUCAUCGAGGAGGACAAAGGCGACGGCUGGACGAGAGUGCGCCGGAACGAGGACGAGGAGGGAUACGUGCCCUCGUCCUACGUCGAGGUCUUUUUGGAAACCAAUGCCAAAGGUGCUAUGACAUACAUUUAACUCCGCAAGCGUGACUUUAUAUUUUUAUUUUUUAUUUCUUCUUUUUUUGUUGUCGCUGUGAAGUCAGAACGUUUCCAUCCACUGCAGGGGGAACAUUGUGGAGAUUAAAGAUUGUUUACCGGGUAGCUCAGAUAAGAGAAUCACUCCACACGCACACACACUUCCUGUCUCUCCCGGAAGGAAGAGCCAAUCAGAUUGGUCCAUUGUGCCUCAUGACAGUUGGCUGAUAGUGUGUGUGUGUGUUGCUGCACACCGUGUAGAUUGUGACACUGGAAACAGGGGGGACAAGAAGUGUGUGUGAAAAGAAGCUUCCAGUUCCUCCCUCCACAUUCGCUGCAGUGCCACCUAGUGGUCACACAGGGAAAACAAGAAAAAGACAAGCUGAGCAUGAUGGGACAAAUCCCCCCCCCCCCCUGCUGACAAUGAUCACAUGUACUUUUCAAAACACACAGAAUGUGAUUUAAAGAAAAUAAAUGUAUAUUGUGUUGUUUUCUCUUUUUGAGGGGGAGGGGGGGUGGGGGGUUAACAGUAUUCCUCUCACACCAACAUGCCCUCGGUCGAAUAUGCGAGUCAGUCUGAUCAGAGAUCAAUAAACUCGCUGGGUGAGCGUGCGCCCCCCUGUGGAGGAACCUCGUGUUGCAGUCACUCGCUGUGCGACCUUAAAAAGGCGGAGCAUGCUCGGUGCGCUUCGGCUGUAAAAUAUGACGACGCAUUGAAAGAUAUUUUUUUAAGAAAAGAAAAAAGUGCAUGCACAUUCACACCCACACGCACACUCACACCCACACUCACACCCACACUCACACCCACACUCACACCCACACUCACACACACACCUUGAAUGUUGCAUGCUGUAGAUUAAUCAUAGCAUUGUUACACCAUGAAAAAGUUGUAAAAGUAAUUAUUAAAGGGGGAUUUUAUUCAAUUAUGUAUCCGUUAGGAUGUUAGGAAGUUAGGAGGUUAGGAGGUUAGGAUGCUAGGAUUUUGUCAUCCGCCUUUUUUUACUCGAUAGUCAUCCUUUGUUUCCAGGCCAGUGAGAAAGGAAUAAAGGACUGAGAGAGAGAGAAACGAUUCCUAAAAGUGAGAGUCUGGCUGAGGAAUGGCAGGGCAGGCAGCCGGAGGAGCUCCACCGCUCAGAGAGAGGAAGACGGCCUAGAGCGGGCUUCCUCCACAGAUUUAAGAGAAAGCCACGACACACACACACACAUGCACACAAGCACGCACAUACACACAAGCACGCACACACACACUUUUUUUAGUUGUCAGCAAAGCUUUGCUUCUUAAUGUAACUAACUCAUGAACGCGGCUGUUGGCUUCCUCGCUCUGAACGCCCCCCUACCCCCCCCCCCCCCAUUGCACACACACUCAUGCACACACACACACACAUGGUGGGGGUGUGGUCAGAGACGGACGCAGACCAGCAGGAGCCUUACGGACUGUAAGCUGUCAGACGCCUUCAUCCGGGUGGCGUGUAUGUGUGUAAGAAGAGAAUCACCCCGGCCACACACACACACACACACACAUCUUGGGCUUGACAUCCAUCACGGCCCCCCACCCCCCCCCACUAAAAUCAGCUCCAUAUUUGUGAGAGGAAGAGGUGAAAGGUUGUGUGUUCGUCUGAGCUGUGUGUGUGUGUGUUUGUAUGUGUGUGUGUCUGUGUAUACAUGUGUGUGUGUGUUUGUAUGUGUGUGUGUCUGUGUAUAUGUGUGUGUGUGUGUUGUGAUUCCCCCCCCCCCCCAUCCUCACAUAUCCAGGACCAGCUGGGGAGGACAGAGAUCAUUCGUCCAUCUUCUUUUUCAUCCUACAUGUCAUGUGACACGGUGUCCGUUCCUCUCUCUGACCACGCCCCCCCCCCCCUCCCCUCCUGAUGGCUCAGGCAAUGCCUUGGCUCCUCUGAGACUCCCCCCCCCUCCCUGCCCACCCUAAACUUUGUGUUGUGUACGAGUCCCGGGGCCGGGGGCCUCUCGGCGUGGUGGUGCGCUGCAUGCUUGCCCUGUCUUUCCUCCUCGACCCUCAGCGGGGGGGGGGGGGUCACAGGGUCACCCCCCCUCUCCCCACCCCCCCUUCGCCUCCAGCCUCUCUGCUAACCCUCAUUGCCUGGUCACAGCGUUUGAAUUAACCUGGAUGCUGCCGUUUGGGUCGGCCCUUGCGGUUCUUUUUUUUGUUAUUUUCAUGAAAGCUUUUUCUUUGGGGUCAGAACUCUCGGUUCCCUGUUUUCAGUUUGACCCCCAAACGUCACAUGAGAGGACGCCAUGUUGUUAUUGUUACAGGCCAUGGGCGUGCAUUUGUUUGACUGUGAGUUCACAUUAGUAUCAGUGUCCAAUUGUUGUUGUUGGUGUUGUUGUUGUUGUUAGUUUACAGUUAAUCAAGUUAGUGGGACUCUCCACUCGGUCCAAACAACAUUCACCCCAAAAAUAAACUUGCGCUCUGAAGAUCUUUUUGACACCUCAUGUUUUAGUGUUUUUUUAGGAUGCUCCACAUAACUCGUCUACUGUGUAUGAGAAAUAAACUGUGAUCCACGACUUCCUGUGAAAGGAUUCAAAUGUGAUUAUCGCAAAUGUUCUGGGGGGAAUUUUUUUAGUUUUUAUAAAUCAUACAAGAGAAAUCAUGACCACUGCCCCCCCCCCCCCCUGCUCAACGGCACAUACGUGAUUUUAACUUUUCUUUUUUUAUAUAUAUAUUAGAUUUGUCUUCUUUUAUUUUGAAGCUGGAAGUCUAUGUUGCUUGCUUACUCUGCCUGAAUGGGUCUAAGCCCCUCCCUCCCCAAAACUACAUGGACGUAUUGAUUAAAUCUGCUGAGUCCAGCUUUAAAAAGUACCCUGUUUGCUAUGUCAUGUUGCCCCCCCCCCCCCCCCCACCAUGACACACCUGAUGACAUCACCGCUUUGAGGGCAGCAGAAGCCCCGGAUUAACCUGCCUGUACAGUGGAAAUGGCACGUUGGAAUUAGAGAGAAUAUAUAUAUAUGAAUAUAUGAAUAAAGUUUAAAAAAAAGGAAAAAAACAUCUAUUUUAACUAUUGAGGAGUCUUAUUAUUUACUUUACCUGCUUUGCAAAACAACAGUAAGACUCCUUCGUUUCCUUUUGGUGAGGUCGACCACAUGGUGUGUUUUCAGCACUUUCUCGUUGGUGUCCCCUCGGCGGCCGCUUUGUGUUCCUGGAGCACCGAAUACUUUGUAUUGUGUGUACCGUGCCAAUUAAAUAUGCCUGGAAAGUCA